GUGAGUAGUUCAGAGUUUGAUCCUGGCUCAGGAUGAACGCUAGCUACAGGCUUAACACAUGCAAGUCGAGGGGCAGCACUAGGUAGCAAUACUGAGGUGGCGACCGGCGCACGGGUGCGUAACGCGUAUCCAACCUUCCCGUUACUCAGGGAUAGCCUUCCGAAAGGGAGAUUAAUACCUGAUGGUAUUCAAAUUUCGCAUGUUAUUUGAAUUAAAGAUUUAUCGGUAACGGAUGGGGAUGCGUGACAUUAGAUAGUAGGCGGGGUAACGGCCCACCUAGUCUACGAUGUCUAGGGGUUCUGAGAGGAAGGUCCCCCACACUGGAACUGAGACACGGUCCAG
This 342-nucleotide ribosomal RNA is filed under the name uncultured bacterium. RNAcentral's name for it is "bacterial SSU rRNA". It matches the Rfam family "Bacterial small subunit ribosomal RNA", at positions 1 to 334 of the family's 1533-position model. The record is from RNAcentral.